AAUUGCAGACCAGGUUGUUCACCCAAUCAAAUAACAAUAAAUCAACUUUAUAAGUUUACUUAUGGUGGAAUUGUCACCUUGAAAAAUAUGUAAAAUAUAUGAAGGCUAUCAUUUUAUGCUAAGAGCAACUGAAGAAAAUUUGAAUUUCAUCAAAUACAGAUUAAAGAUGGUGCCAAAUAUUUUCAGCCAUUUCAGCUUACAAAUAAUUGUGAUCUUUAAAACACUCUUAAUACUAGCGAUUUAUUCAUUGAUGUGGGUAUCAGUUUUCUGGAUCCUAGUUUCAUAAUGUUCAAAAACACAUCAAUAAAAAAUAUUUCUAUAUUAUUUCUG
Molecule: long non-coding RNA, 330 nt
Filed under: Mytilus galloprovincialis (Mediterranean mussel)
Lineage: Eukaryota; Metazoa; Mollusca; Bivalvia; Mytilida; Mytilidae
Source: RNAcentral